Molecule: non-coding RNA, 181 nt
Filed under: Lachnoclostridium sp. An131
Lineage: Bacteria; Bacillati; Bacillota; Clostridia; Lachnospirales; Lachnospiraceae
Also listed under: 1 other name
Source: RNAcentral
UCUGAACCAGCCGUUACAAGUUCCGCAAGGAUUCAUAGAGAAACCGGUGGGAAUCCGGUACGAUCCCGUCACUGUGAUAGGGAGUCUCAGAGCAUGGCUAUGCCACUGGGCGGAAGGCCCGGGAAGGCGUUUUGAGGCGUUGAUCUUAAGUCAGGAGAACUGCUUGUAACUGAUAGAGGUA